CAGCCGCCGCGGUAAUACGUAGGUGGCAAGCGUUGUCCGGAAUUAUUGGGCGUAAAGGGCUCGCAGGCGGUUUCUUAAGUCUGAUGUGGAAGCCCCCGGCUCAACCGGGGAGGGUCAUUGGAAACUGGGAAACUUGAGUGCAGAAGAGGAGAGUGGAAUUCCACGUGUAGCGGUGAAAUGCGUAGAGAUGUGGAGGAACACCAGUGGCGAAGGCGACUCUCUGGUCUGUAACUGACGCUGAGGAGCGAAAGCGUGGGGAGCGAACAGGAUUAGAUACCCCCGUAGUCCCUGUCUCUUAUAC
Molecule: ribosomal RNA, 301 nt
Filed under: uncultured bacterium
Lineage: Bacteria
Description: partial 16S ribosomal RNA
Rfam family: Bacterial small subunit ribosomal RNA
Source: RNAcentral